AAAUAUUAUAUAUCUAUAUUUACAAAUGUGCUAGUAAAUUUUGUUCAAUAUUAUGUCUCUUUCAGUUAUUUGUAUUCUUACCACAGUCACUAUUAAAAAUAAAUUUUAGCAAAAUUUAACUGAUUUAUUGUUAAUUAUUUCUAUAGUAUAACCAACAAAAAAUGUUUUAAAAAUUAUGAUAGAGUAAUGAUAGAGUCACAAUUAUCUUAUAAAAACUAAUAUGGCUUUAGGAGAUUGAUUGUAUAAAAUGAUCAUGGGUCCACAUAACAAAAAUAUAAUAAUUAUCACUUUUCAAUCAAUAUCUUCAUGUCAUAUCAAUUUGUAAAUAUUAAUUUACAUAAAAUUAUUUGUGCUCUAUUAUUAUGGGUUACAAUAUUAUCAAACUCGCCACAGAAAACCUUAGAACUUAAACAUAAGUUCUAUUGAUGAUGAGCACAAGACAUGGACCAAAUUUUUUACUGUCUCACAAGUUCCUCCCGGCGAGUAUGACUACCAUGCGUCCCCCAAAAUAUAAUGCCAAGAAUCACUUCAUUAUUUUAAGCUUGGAGGCCACAUGGCGAAAAGAUGUCUUGUUGCUUCAUUACUUUCCUCAUCCACAAUGGGCAUCUCCCUAUAUUGUUACAAUUUUAUGGAAUGUUCAGAAGCGGGUGGCAACUACAGUACAUGCAUAAAAAAUUACCAUUUGAUUAAAUAGAGUGGACCCAAUGGUUGAGUUUCAUCUUAGUGUCAAAUACUAAAAAAAUUUGUAAGAAAUGGAAACCUGUAAAACUGGUAACUUGAAACUUUGGACCAAUAAAUGUGAAACACAUACCAUUAAUCUUGGUAUUAGGACCAUUAAACUUGAAACCGAAGUAACUUGAAACUUUGGGCAAUGAACAUGAAACUUGGGACCAUAAACUUGCAAUCCUAAGAAUCAUACAAAUCAUGGACCAAUAAAUAUGAAACAAUCACUAAUCUUGAUAUUAAGACCAUUAAACUUGAAACUAAAGUAACUUGAAACUUAGGGCAAUGAACAUGAAACUUGAGAUCAUUAACUUGCAAUCCAAAAAUACAUACAAAUCAUGGACCAAUAAAUAUGAAACAACUACCAUUAAUAUUGAUAUAAGGACCAUUAAACUUGAAAAUAAAAUAACUUGAAACUGAGAACAAUGAACAUAAAACUUGAGUUUAUUAACUUUCACCCCUGAAAAUCAUGCAAUUAAUGGACCAAUAAACACGAACACCUACCUCUAACUUGAUACUGAGACCAUUAAACUUGAAACUAAAGGAACUUGAGAUUGAGAGCAAUGAACAUGAAACUUGAGACCAUUAACUUGCAACCCUGAAAAAUCAUGUAAUUAAUGGACCAUUAAACUUGAAACCACAAAAAACUUGAAUCUGAGAGCAAUAAACAUGAAACCUGGGGUCAUUAACUUGCAACCCUGAAAAUCAUGUAAUUAAUAGGCCAAUAAACAUGAAACAUCUACCGUUAACUAGAUAUUAGGACCAUUAAACUUGAAAUUAAAAGAACUUAAAAUUGAGGGCAAUGACUAUGAAACUUGCAAUUAUUAACUUGCAACCUUAGAAAUCAUGCAAUUAAUGGACCAAUAAAUAAAAAACACAUAUCGUUGACUUGAUACUGAGAUCAUUAAACUUGAAAUUAAAGGAACUUAAAACCGAGGGCAAUAAACAUGAAACUUGUAAUCAUUAACUUGCAACCAUGGAAAUCAUGCAAUUAAUGGACCAAUAAAGGCGAAACACUUACUGUUAACUUGAUACUGGGACCAUUAAACUUGAAAUCAAAUGAACUUAAAACUGAAGACAAUGAACAUGAAACUUGCGAUUAUUAACUUGCAACCUUGAAAAUCAUGCAAUUAAUGGACCAAUAAAGGUGAAACACUUACUGUUACCUUGAUACUGGGACCAUUAAACUUGAAAUCAAAUGAACUUGAAACUGAAGACAAUGAACAUGAAACUUGCGAUUAUUAACUUGCAACCUUGAAAAUCAUGCAAUUAAUGGACCAAUAAAGGUGAAACACUUACUGUUAACUUGAUACUGGGACCAUUAAACUUGAAAUCAAAUGAACUUGAAACUGAAGACAAUGAACAUGAAACUUGCGAUUAUUAACUUGCAAUCUUGAAAAUCAUGCAAUUAAUGGACCAAUAAACACGAAACACUAUCGUUAAUUUGAUAUUGGGAUCAUUAAACUUGAAAUUAAAGGAAAUAAAAACCGAGGGCAAUGAAUAUGAAACUUGGAAUCAUUAACUUGCAACCCUGAAAAUCAUGUAAUUAAUGAAUCAAUAAACAUGAAACACCUAUCGUUAACUUGAUACUAGUA
This 2318-nucleotide long non-coding RNA is filed under the name Citrus x clementina. RNAcentral describes it as "Citrus clementina (C. clementina) long non-coding RNA (CCLE_LNC000459)". The record is from RNAcentral. Lineage: Eukaryota; Viridiplantae; Streptophyta; Magnoliopsida; Sapindales; Rutaceae.